Molecule: ribosomal RNA, 397 nt
Filed under: uncultured bacterium
Lineage: Bacteria
Description: partial 16S ribosomal RNA
Rfam family: Bacterial small subunit ribosomal RNA
Source: RNAcentral
AUACGUAGGGGGCGAGCGUUGUCCGGAAUGAUUGGGCGUAAAGGGCGCGUAGGCGGCCCGGUAAGUCUGGAGUGAAAGUCCUGUUUUUAAGAUGGGAAUUGCUUUGGAUACUGUCGGGCUUGAGUGCAGGAGAGGUAAGUGGAAUUCCCAGUGUAGCGGUGAACUGCGUAGAGAUUGGGAGGAACACCAGUGGCGAAGGCGACUUACUGGACUGUAACUGACGCUGAGGCGCGAAAGUGUGGGGAGCAAACAGGAUUAGAUACCCUGGUAGUCCACACUGUAAACGAUGAAUACUAGGUGUAGGGGGUAUCGACUCCCUCUGUGCCGCAGUUAACACAAUAAGUAUUCCGCCUGGGGAGUACGGCCGCAAGGUUGAAACUCAAAUGAAUUGACGGGG